UGCGGCGACGCAAAGCGGAACUUGAAAGCCUGUCUCAGUUCGGAUUGGAGUCUGCAACUCGACUCCAUGAAGCUGGAUUCGCUAGUAAUCGCGCAUCAGCCAUGGCGCGGUGAAUACGUUCCCGGGUCUUGUACACACCGCCCGUCACACCAUGGGAGCCAGGAAUGCCCGAAGCCAGUGGCCUAACCGCAAGGGAGGAGCUGUCGAAGGCAGGCCCGGUAACGUGGGGUGAAGUCGUAACAAGGUACC
This 249-nucleotide ribosomal RNA is filed under the name uncultured bacterium. Its description in RNAcentral is "partial 16S ribosomal RNA". It matches the Rfam family "Bacterial small subunit ribosomal RNA", at positions 1253 to 1500 of the family's 1533-position model. The record is from RNAcentral.